RNAcentral lists this ribosomal RNA (618 nucleotides) under Triticum aestivum (bread wheat). RNAcentral's name for it is "partial small subunit ribosomal RNA". Lineage: Eukaryota; Viridiplantae; Streptophyta; Magnoliopsida; Poales; Poaceae. The record is from RNAcentral.
AUGCAGCCCCUUCCGAACGGCGCUGCGCGACUAAGGGUUAGUUUAUACGCCGACGAUGCCAUCAUUUUUGCAAACCCGAGCCGGGAGGAGGUAGAUAUACUGCUAGAGAUCCUCAAACUCUUCGGGGAUACCACCGAGCUAUGCAUCAACCAGCAGAAAUGCUCAGCGAUUCCGAUCCGCUGCGCCGAUGUUGAUCUCGACCACGUGCUGCAAAAUUUCGGCGGAGGACGAGCUGGCUUCCCUUUCAGAUACCUCGGCCUCCCCGUUUCAACGACCAGAACCAGGCUAGUCCACCUGCAGUUCAUACUGGAUAGAAUCCAAGCGCGGCUCGCGGGCUGGAAGGGUAGGCUCAUCUCUCUCGCCGGGCGUUGAGUGCUGGUCCGCUGCGUCCUUUCGACCAUGCCAACCUUCACCCUGACUGUCCUGCGGGUGCCAAAAAAGUUGUUCGAGGAGAUCGACAAAGUUCGUCGUUGCUUCUUAUGGGCGCAUGAUGAGGAGGUGUCGGGAGGAAAGUGCAAAGUUGCCUGGAAGCUAGUCACUCAGCCGGAGGAGGACGGCGGCCUCGGCAUCCAUGACCUGGCGCAAUUCGCGCAUGCCCUCCGGCUCAGAUGGCUCUAG